Non-coding RNA from Salmo salar (Atlantic salmon), 348 nucleotides. The record is from the annotation of a RefSeq genome assembly. NCBI's taxonomy places the organism in Eukaryota, Metazoa, Chordata, Actinopteri, Salmoniformes, Salmonidae.
AUGUUCUCAGUAAUAGGUGGCACCUAUGAGCAGACUAUCGAGCCAAACCAACAUGAAGUGCAUGGAGAGGAGGGUUACAAUGUUCAACUUUCCUGCAACUACUCCUCAGCAUACCGUGUACUGUGUAUCCUCAGCAUACCAUGUACACAGUAUCCAGAAUCAGCUCCCCAAUUCCUCCUCUUCAUCCUGCACUCCACUGGGACUGGACAGAGAGCUGAUUCUCUUGACUCUCACUUCUCUGGUAAACUGAACAAAGAGAAGACCCGUGUGGAUCUGGAGAAUUCCUCUGCUGAAGUGACAGACUCUGCUCUGUACUACUGUGCUCUAUGUAUGAGCGGCAUAGGCUAA